UCAGACGAUGCGUCAUGCAUAUCAAUAAGCGGAGGAAAAGAAACUAACAAGGAUUCCCUUAGUAACGGCGAGUGAAGCGGGAAGAGCUCAAAUUUGAAAUCUUAAAGGGUUUCCCUUUACGAAUUGUAGUUUAAAGAAGUGUUUUCUGUUAGAGUUUCGGUAAAAGUUCUUUGGAAUAGGACAUCAUAGAGGGUGAGAAUCCCGUAUUUGACCAUUAUUUCCAGCUUUGUGAUACACUUUCAAAGAGUCGGAUUGUUUGGGAAUGCAGUCCAAAAUGGGUGGUAAAUUUCAUCUAAAGCUAAAUAUUGGCGAGAGACCGAUAGCGAACAAGUACCGUGAGGGAAAGAUGAAAAGAACUUUGAAAAGAGAGUUAAACAGUACGUGAAAUUGUCAAAAGGGAAGCGUUUGACACCAGUGUUGUUUUCUCGAAAAUCAAUUAAAAAAGGCAGGAUUUUGUGUUGUAUUGACUUUAUCAGCUUUCUGCACUCUUUUCUUGUCUUUUUUUAAUGCACUUUUCGUUUAACAAGUCAACAUCAAUUUCUUUUGUUGUAAAAGGGUCAUUGGAAGGUGGCUUUCUUUUCGGAGAAAGUGUUUAUAGCCUUUGGCCUCUGCAAUCGGAGAGAUUGAGGUCUGCAGCGUAGAUCCUUCGGGGUUAGAUACAUUUGUGCUAAGUUAUAGCCUUUUAUAGACAACUUGUUAACUAUGAUCAGUUAUCUGUAGCUUACUCGCUUAUGCUAUUUUACCUACGCUUAGGAUGUUGAUCUACAGAGCGAGAGU
This 777-nucleotide ribosomal RNA is filed under the name uncultured Neocallimastigales. Its description in RNAcentral is "partial large subunit ribosomal RNA". It matches the Rfam family "Eukaryotic large subunit ribosomal RNA", at positions 18 to 625 of the family's 3401-position model. Lineage: Eukaryota; Fungi; Neocallimastigomycota; Neocallimastigomycetes; Neocallimastigales. The record is from RNAcentral.